AAGACUCUAGUAAAAUAGCCAUUACACUGCUUUGUCAGGGCAGAGUUGCGAGUUAGAAUCUCGCGUGACUUG
RNAcentral lists this transfer RNA (72 nucleotides) under Sirembo imberbis (golden cusk). RNAcentral's name for it is "tRNA-Asp". It matches the Rfam family "tRNA". Rfam says of the family: Transfer RNA (tRNA) molecules are approximately 80 nucleotides in length. Their secondary structure includes four short double-helical elements and three loops (D, anti-codon, and T loops). Lineage: Eukaryota; Metazoa; Chordata; Actinopteri; Ophidiiformes; Ophidiidae. The record is from RNAcentral.